Long non-coding RNA from Daphnia carinata, 1058 nucleotides. RefSeq lists it as uncharacterized. The record is from RefSeq and is a predicted model, not a curated record. The transcript is spliced from 5 exons. NCBI's taxonomy places the organism in Eukaryota, Metazoa, Arthropoda, Branchiopoda, Diplostraca, Daphniidae.
CCCAAGGUGUUGAACACUACAAAUGCUACUGAACGCUGUGGCACAGGUACUUCAUUAAGGACCAGAAUUCCCUUGUUCUUGAUCGGAGGUUAUUUUCAUAGUUGAUCUUUGCUUUUAUUUCAUUCAAAUUAAAGUGCAUCGUUAUAAGAAACGAUAAUGCGGAGAAGGUACUGUCUAACCAAUAUUGCUCGAAAAGGGACAGUUUAAAUGGCUAGGAUAGUGCGUUACAGCGAACUGGGUGCUGCAGUUGGAAUAUGGAAGAAUGCCAGGCAACGAAUGUAACGUAUAGGGAGUCAAGGCAACAAACCGAAGAAACGCUGUUGAGUACAGUUAAUCAUUGGUAUUGAUGCUCAUUCUAUCAAGGACGAAAGCGUUAUCUCUUGUUUUCUGUCGGUUUCAUUUAUGACAGCACAGAUUGAAUUGCUUCUAAUGAAAUGUGCCGUUCAGUGAGUGUUUGGUGUCUACUUGAGAAUGUCUGCAGGUUACUGGUCUAUUGUAAUCUGCCUGAAUUUAACUUUGAAAAAAUUGCUUUAGAAUUACAGGUAUAAGAUGCGCUAAUUUCAUUCAGCCUUUUUUUACUGGGUUUCUAGUCCCCUUGUAGGGACAUGACGUAAUGGAGCUCUUGCUCUUAAUUGCAUAUUUCCUCUGAUUAACAAGAACCAGUUGAAACACGAUUUGCAUACGUUGAUUGACCAUACUAUCAAGUCGACAGUUGUGUUGCCUCGACAGAGUUGCUGCCUAGUUUGGUUGGGUGUAAAUAUCUAUACACAAAUAACGGUCUUAUCUUGAUUUUAUGUAAUGUUUUCUGCUAGUACUAACUGCUCUCACGUCAUAGCAUUCCGCCCUACGCUCACGUGGGCCAGUGUUAUGUCUUGUUUAAUCAGCAUAUCAGAUCCUAGAUGCCGACUGUGAAUUUCAAUGCGACCUGUCCAUCGAAUGUCUCCGAAAUUAUGGUGCCUCAUUACGCGUAACAGUGUUGCACUUUCCUUGAUAAGGUAAUCAAUGUUAACAAGGGGACAAAUGUAUCAGAAGAAAAGGCUGCAUUCUAUGACAAUCUG